AUGUCGACGGCGGCUGCAUCUCGGCCCAGCGGCUCCAUCCUUUUGACUCCCUUUCCCAACUACCAAUCCGCCCCGCUCUCUCGCGUCAAGCUCCCCGCCGCCGGCGCCGGCCGCUCGCCAAGCAAGUCCGUCAGCGCCUCGUCUCCCCGCUCCUCCCCCGCGGGCGGCACCGCCACCCCGAAGACCCGUCGGACAUGCAUGUGCUCUCCGACGAACCACCCGGGCUCGUUCCGCUGCAGCCUCCACAAGGAACGCAAGCAGAAGGUCCCGGCCGCAGGCAGCUGCAGGAAGCCAUCCUCCCCGCCUUCGCCGCCGUCGAAGCGCACGGCCAGCCCGUUCGCGCAGCUCGGCCCCAUCGGCAGCGGCUGCGCCAAGGGCACGGGCCGCACGCUCCCACAGCUCGCUCCCAUGGGGAGUGGGCACUGGGCGCGCAGGGCGCUCGCGCCGUCCCCCACGGCGCAGCAGGUGCAGUACAGAAAGCGCGCGAGCCGGUUCCACCCCGGGCCCAGCAGUCUCUCCGCAGCCUCCAUGGCCGGCCACCGCGCAGGCGGCAGCAUCCAGUAA
RNAcentral lists this ribosomal RNA (564 nucleotides) under Triticum aestivum (bread wheat). RNAcentral's name for it is "partial small subunit ribosomal RNA". The record is from RNAcentral. Lineage: Eukaryota; Viridiplantae; Streptophyta; Magnoliopsida; Poales; Poaceae.